RNAcentral lists this transfer RNA (76 nucleotides) under Boudabousia marimammalium. Its description in RNAcentral is "Actinomyces marimammalium tRNA-Glu". It matches the Rfam family "tRNA". From Rfam's summary of the family: Transfer RNA (tRNA) molecules are approximately 80 nucleotides in length. Their secondary structure includes four short double-helical elements and three loops (D, anti-codon, and T loops). Further hydrogen bonds mediate the characteristic L-shaped molecular structure. tRNAs have two regions of fundamental functional importance: the anti-codon, which is responsible for specific mRNA codon recognition, and the 3' end, to which the tRNAs corresponding amino acid is attached (by aminoacyl-tRNA synthetases). tRNAs cope with the degeneracy of the genetic code in two manners: having more than one tRNA (with a specific anti-codon) for a particular amino acid; and 'wobble' base-pairing, i.e. permitting non-standard base-pairing at the 3rd anti-codon position. Lineage: Bacteria; Bacillati; Actinomycetota; Actinomycetes; Actinomycetales; Actinomycetaceae. The record is from RNAcentral.
GCUCCCAUCGUCUAGUGGCCUAGGACGCCGCCCUCUCAAGGCGGUAACACGGGUUCAAAUCCCGUUGGGAGUACAA